AGAUUCUUGUUUAUUUUUUAUUUCUAAUAACUGGUAUAAGUAGGCCAAGGUCUACACCCUCUCCAAACUCAUAGCAAAGGAUGGCUAGGGACAAGAAUAUUGGUCCAAUGGUUCUUCUCCUUGUUUUUGGUUCAAUCCUACUGGGAAUCAAUCCAAGCACAGCCAAAAUUUGCCCUCAGUAUUGUACGGACCAGGCAGGUUAUAUGACCUGUCCAUCUUCAGGCAAUACGCAGCUUUCACCAUCUUGCAAUUGUUGCUUAGCUCCGGCAGGCUGCACCCUUUACAGAGCUGACGGAACUUCAAUCUGUACUGGCACUUAAAAUGAGUGAGCAUGGGGGGGCAUGCCUUGUAUGAUAUAAAUAAUUAUGGUUUGCCAUGAAUGGUUUUUAAGUGGCAAUAUCCAUGCUGCCACUGAUGAAGAAUAAUAUAUGGUCAUAAUAAAUGGGCUUUCCUUGACGCCUAAUGCUUCCCUAAUAUAUAUAUAUAUAUUUGCUUCCUCUGA
Long non-coding RNA from Prunus persica (peach), 502 nucleotides. RefSeq lists it as uncharacterized. The transcript has 2 exons. NCBI's taxonomy places the organism in Eukaryota, Viridiplantae, Streptophyta, Magnoliopsida, Rosales, Rosaceae. The record is from RefSeq and is a predicted model, not a curated record.